ACGAACGCUGGCGGCGUGCUUAACCCAUGCAAGUCGAACGGAAAGGCCCUGCUUUUGUGGGGUGCUCGAGUGGCGAACGGGUGAGUAACACGUGAGUAACCUGCCCUUGACUUUGGGAUAACUUCAGGAAACUGGGGCUAAUACCGGAUAGGAGCUCCUGCUGCAUGGUGGGGGUUGGAAAGUUUCGGCGGUUGGGGAUGGACUCGCGGCUUAUCAGCUUGUUGGUGGGGUAGUGGCUUACCAAGGCUUUGACGGGUAGCCGGCCUGAGAGGGUGACCGGCCACAUUGGGACUGAGAUACGGCCCAGACUCCUACGGGAGGCAGCAGUGGGGAAUAUUGCACAAUGGGCGGAAGCCUGAUGCAGCAACGCCGCGUGCGAGAUGACGGCCUUCGGGUUGUAAACCGCUUUCGCCUGUGACGAAGCGUGAGUGACGGUAAUGGGUAAAGAAGCACCGGCUAACUACGUG
This 467-nucleotide ribosomal RNA is filed under the name uncultured bacterium. RNAcentral's name for it is "partial 16S ribosomal RNA". It matches the Rfam family "Bacterial small subunit ribosomal RNA", at positions 29 to 507 of the family's 1533-position model. The record is from RNAcentral.